GGCGACAGGUAGCGCACACAGGUGAAGUUGAUCGGUAGAGAUCUUUCGCGGAUCUUGAGAGCGGCGUACGGGUGCGGAACACGUGUGCAACCUGCCUUUAUCUGGGGGAUAGCCUUUCGAAAGGAAGAUUAAUACCCCAUAAUAUACUGGAUGGCAUCAUUCGGUAUUGAAAACUCCGGUGGAUAGAGAUGGGCACGCGCAAGAUUAGAUAGUUGGUGAGGUAACGGCUCACCAAGUCUGCGAUCUUUAGGGGGCCUGAGAGGGUGAUCCCCCACACUGGUACUGAGACACGGACCAGACUCCUACGGGAGGCAGCAGUGAGGAAUAUUGGACAAUGGGUGAGAGCCUGAUCCAGCCAUCCCGCGUGAAGGACGACGGCCCUAUGGGUUGUAAACUUCUUUUGUAUAGGGAUAAACCUACCCUCGUGAGGGUAGCUGAAGGUACUAUACGAAUAAGCACCGGCUAACUCCGUGCCAGCAGCCGCGGUAAUACGGAGGGUGCAAGCGUUAUCCGGAUUUAUUGGGUUUAAAGGGUCCGUAGGCGGAUCUGUAAGUCAGUGGUGAAAUCUCACAGCUUAACUGUGAAACUGCCAUUGAUACUGCAGGUCUUGAGUGUUGUUGAAGUAGCUGGAAUAAGUAGUGUAGCGGUGAAAUGCAUAGAUAUUACUUAGAACACCAAUUGCGAAGGCAGGUUACUAAGCAACAACUGACGCUGAUGGACGAAAGCGUGGGGAGCGAACAGGAUUAGAUACCCUGGUAGUCCACGCCGUAAACGAUGCUAACUCGUUUUUGGAGCGCAAGCUUCAGAGACUAAGCGAAAGUGAUAAGUUAGCCACCUGGGGAGUACGAACGCAAGUUUGAAACUCAAAGGAAUUGACGGGGGCCCGCACAAGCGGUGGAUUAUGUGGUUUAAUUCGAUGAUACGCGAGGAACCUUACCAAGGCUUAAAUGGGAAAUGACAGGUUUAGAAAUAGACUUUUCUUCGGACAUUUUUCAAGGUGCUGCAUGGUUGUCGUCAGCUCGUGCCGUGAGGUGGUUAGGUUAAGUCCUGCAACGAGCGCAACCCCUGUCACUAGUUGCCAUCAUUAAGUUGGGGACUCUAGUGAGACUGCCUACCCAGUAAAAAGGAAAAGGGUGGGGGAUAACGUCAAAUCUUCACGGCCCUUACCCCUUGGGCCACACCCUAAUACAUGGGCCGGUACAAAGGGAGCUCCCCUGCGAAGGGUGCAAAUCUCAAAACCGGUUCCUUUUUCGAAUUGAGUCUUCCACUCCCCCCUUUAAAGCUGGAU
Molecule: ribosomal RNA, 1288 nt
Filed under: Chryseobacterium indologenes
Lineage: Bacteria; Pseudomonadati; Bacteroidota; Flavobacteriia; Flavobacteriales; Weeksellaceae
Description: bacterial SSU rRNA
Rfam family: Bacterial small subunit ribosomal RNA
Source: RNAcentral